This 419-nucleotide ribosomal RNA is filed under the name uncultured Prevotella sp. Its description in RNAcentral is "bacterial SSU rRNA". It matches the Rfam family "Bacterial small subunit ribosomal RNA", at positions 358 to 774 of the family's 1533-position model. Lineage: Bacteria; Pseudomonadati; Bacteroidota; Bacteroidia; Bacteroidales; Prevotellaceae. The record is from RNAcentral.
GGAAUAUUGGUCAAUGGGCGCGAGCCUGAACCAGCCAAGUAGCGUGCAGGAUGACUGCCCUAUGGGUUGUAAACUGCUUUUAUAGGGGAAUAAAGUGAGGAACGUGUUCCUUUUUGUAUGUACCCUAUGAAUAAGGACCGGCUAAUUCCGUGCCAGCAGCCGCGGUAAUACGGAAGGUCCGGGCGUUAUCCGGAUUUAUUGGGUUUAAAGGGAGCGCAGGCUGGAUUUUAAGCGUGUUGUGAAAUGUACCGGCUCAACCGGUGAUGUGCAGCGCGAACUGGAGUCCUUGAGUGAGUACGACGUCAGCGGAAUUCGUGGUGUAGCGGUGAAAUGCUUAGAUAUCACGAAGAACUGCGAUUGCGAAGGCAGCUGACGAGUCCUUAACUGACGCUAAAGCUCGAAAGUGCGGGUAUCGAACA